This 228-nucleotide ribosomal RNA is filed under the name uncultured bacterium. Its description in RNAcentral is "partial 16S ribosomal RNA". It matches the Rfam family "Bacterial small subunit ribosomal RNA", at positions 28 to 221 of the family's 1533-position model. The record is from RNAcentral.
GAUGAACGCUGGCGGUGUGCCUAAUACAUGCAAGUCGUACGCAUUCCCGUUUUUGUAUUGAAGGUGCUUACACCUGAUUGAUAAACAUCGGAAUGAGUGGCGGACGGGUGAGUAACACGUGGGUAACCUGCCCAGAAGUGGGGGAUAACGAUUUGGAAACAGAUGCUAAUACCGCAUAAUAGAUAGAACCACAUGGUUCUAUUUUUGAAAGUAUGGCCUUUGUGCUAU